UACGUAGGGUGCAAGCGUUGUCCGGAAUUAUUGGGCGUAAAGAGCUCGUAGGCGGCUUGUCACGUCUGCUGUGAAAACUCGGGGCUCAACCCCGAGCCUGCAGUGGAUACGGGCUAGCUAGAGUGCGGUAGGGGAGACUGGAAUUCCUGGUGUAGCGGUGAAAUGCGUAGAUAUCUGGAGGAACACCGGUGGCGAAGGCGGCAUCCUGGACCGGUAUUGACGCUGAUGCGCGAAAGCCAGGGGAGCAAACGGG
Molecule: ribosomal RNA, 253 nt
Filed under: uncultured bacterium
Lineage: Bacteria
Description: partial 16S ribosomal RNA
Rfam family: Bacterial small subunit ribosomal RNA
Source: RNAcentral